CCAAACGGUGAUGCUAUUGCAUGUGUUCCUAGCUAUCACAAAACAACCAGCUUUUGAUCAUCCUUUGCUCAAAGAUCACAAGAUUCAGAUGCAGCCUAAUUAGGGACUCUUUGAUGACAAUAAAGUACCUUUUAAGAUGUCACAAAUAGAAAGGCAUACAUAUCUCUCAGUUAUGACAUCAGUAUAUGGUAAAUGUUUCGAAGGGACCAUUCCCAUGAGGAGGGCAAAGGAAGAUGAUAUCUUGAGUACAAGUUCAUUCAAAAGAUAUGGUAAGAAGAAGGAAUGAACUCUCCCGUUUCCUAAAUGUGCAGAACCUGACUUCACUAACCAAAGAGGUCACCAGAUGAGAAAAGUUUUUCUUUUUGUUGGUUUCUUGAUCUCGUUUGUAUAUUUGUUUCGGUUUCUUGAACUUUAGCAUGACAUAGCUUAUGUGAAUGUGACUAUUCACUUACUGGAUUGUAGUUCCUGAGACCACUGUCUAAUUAAAUUCUUAUAGUCAUGUGCUUCUGUUCCCUAUAA
Molecule: long non-coding RNA, 519 nt
Organism: Raphanus sativus (radish)
Lineage: Eukaryota; Viridiplantae; Streptophyta; Magnoliopsida; Brassicales; Brassicaceae
Exons: 2
Source: RefSeq, a predicted model, not a curated record